This 506-nucleotide ribosomal RNA is filed under the name uncultured bacterium. RNAcentral describes it as "partial 16S ribosomal RNA". It matches the Rfam family "Bacterial small subunit ribosomal RNA", at positions 29 to 523 of the family's 1533-position model. The record is from RNAcentral.
AGUGAACGCUGGCGGUAGGCCUAACACAUGCAAGUCGAACGGCAGCACAGGAGAGCUUGCUCUCUGGGUGGCGAGUGGCGGACGGGUGCGGAAUACAGCGGAGUCUACUCUGUCGUGGGGGAUAACGUAGGGAAACUUACGCUAAUACCGCAUACGACCUACGGGUGAAAGCAGGGGACCUUCGGGCCUUGCGGCAUUGGAUGGGCCGAUGUCGGAUGAGCUAGUUGGCGGGGGAAAGGCCCACCAAGGCGACGAUCCGUAGCUGGUCUGAGAGGACGAUCAGCCACACUGGAACUGAGACACGGUCCAGACUCCUACGGGAGGCAGCAGUGGGGAAUAUUGGACAAUGGGCGCAAGCCUGAUCCAGCCAUACCGCGUGGGUGAAGAAGGCCUUCGGGUUGUAAAGCCCUUUUGUUGGGAAAGAAAUCCAGCUGGCUAAUACCCGGUUGGGAUGACGGUACCCAAAGAAUAAGCACCGGCUAACUUCGUGCCAGCCGCCGCCGUAA